This 468-nucleotide ribosomal RNA is filed under the name uncultured bacterium. RNAcentral's name for it is "partial 16S ribosomal RNA". It matches the Rfam family "Bacterial small subunit ribosomal RNA", at positions 28 to 507 of the family's 1533-position model. The record is from RNAcentral.
GACGAACGCUGGCGGCGUGCUUAACACAUGCAAGUCGAACGGAAAGGCCCUGCUUUUGUGGGGUGCUCGAGUGGCGAACGGGUGAGUAACACGUGAGUAACCUGCCCUUGACUUUGGGAUAACUUCAGGAAACUGGGGCUAAUACCGGAUAGGAGCUCCUGCUGCAUGGUGGGGGUUGGAAAGUUUCGGCGGUUGGGGAUGGACUCGCGGCUUAUCAGCUUGUUGGUGGGGUAGUGGCUUACCAAGGCUUUGACGGGUAGCCGGCCUGAGAGGGUGACCGGCCACAUUGGGACUGAGAUACGGCCCAGACUCCUACGGGAGGCAGCGGUGGGGAAUAUUGCACAAUGGGCGGAAGCCUGAUGCAGCAACGCCGCGUGCGGGAUGACGGCCUUCGGGUUGUAAACCGCUUUCGCCUGUGACGAAGCGCGAGUGACGGUAAUGGGUAAAGAAGCACCGGCUAACUACGUG